Long non-coding RNA from Tupaia belangeri chinensis (Chinese tree shrew), 212 nucleotides. RefSeq lists it as uncharacterized. NCBI's taxonomy places the organism in Eukaryota, Metazoa, Chordata, Mammalia, Scandentia, Tupaiidae. The record is from RefSeq and is a predicted model, not a curated record. The transcript is spliced from 3 exons.
GAAAGACAGUGAGAGGGAAAGUAAGAAAUCACCCCUCGCCCCAGCUCCUUUUGCCCUUCUGCCACAUGAAGAUGCAGUGAGAAGUAUCAUCAUCAGACACCAAAUCUAUUGGUACCUUGGACUUCCUAGCCUCCAGAACUUGGCCAUCACCAUUCAAGACAGUGAUUACUUCAUCAUCCUGGGACCUUAGAGCUGAGAGACCUUAUUAACCC